AUUUGGGUUUUUUUAUUUUCUAGCAUAACUACAAAGUAUGUUUUAUAUGGUAAGUAAUUACUUCCCGAUUUAAUUUUGUAUUACAACUGGCAUUCGGCAUUGUAUAUAUGGUAACAACGCACUAAUUUUGUUUUUAAUUCUUAACGGUAGGAUUAAGACGAUGAUAUAUAUAUAGGCAGAAGUCGAUUGCCCUUUUACACUUAACACCAGGCAGACGUUCAUCGACGAUUCAAGACGUUUGAGAUAGAUUUGAGAAUCGAGAGGAAAGCCUCCUCCUCUGCUGAAAUGGUGUCUGUAAGUGAAUUACAAAACCUAGAUGCUUUCUAUUUCUGGAUUUUGUUUGGAAAAUACGGUAAGGUAAACAUCUGCUUCUACUAUCUUGGCCUCUCAAGAAGCGCCUCUUUGGUACGUAGAAUUCUCUAAGUUUAUGCUAUAAAUUCAUUUCUGUGGUUCUGUCAUAUUUUUGGUGAGAACCCUACACUGUAAAUGUUUUAAUUUAUUCUCCGGUGCAAUUCCUAUGGUCUUUUGCAUCUAAGAAAAACUCAUUUUCAUUGUCUCCUGGAAACGUUUUUUUGUCUCUUGCAAUUAAUUCAUAUGCAACUUUCUCUUAAUCUUUAGGGAUCAAUUGCUAUGUUAUGCUAUGCCAUUGGUGCUGCAGAUUUACAUAUUUAUUCAUAAUAUAAGUUUAUUGCCCUGAAGUAUGUGAGUUGUUUUUUAAUCUUUGGUGGGAUGUGUUUAGUUCUGGUUUUGGUUAUUAUUAUGAUUACUUUUAUUACUCCAUGUCCAAUUCUUGGGAUGGUUCUAUGCCUGGCUUGGGUUUUAGUUUGUGGCUGGUCUGGCUCUAGGUUAUGCUUGCGUAUGCCUUGUCUGGGUUGGGUCAGGUUUGGAUCUAGGUCUAGACCUGGAUCUAAGUUGGGUUUGGGCUGGGCGUAGGUCUGGGUCUGGACUGGGUUUCGGGUGGGCUGGGGUUGGGUCUGGGCUUGGUCAGGUUCUGGAUUUGGGUCUGGGCUGGGUCUGAGUCUGGGUUGAGUCUGGGGCUGGGUCUUGGUCUGGUCUGAGUCUGGGUUUGGGUUUGGGAAUUUCCUAGGCGUGGGCUUGGGCUGGGUCUGGGUUUGGUUCUAGGUUGGGCCUUGGCCUGGGUCUUAUCUGGGUCUGGAUCUGGGGCAGGGCUGGGUUCGGGUCUGGUUUGGGUCUGGAUUUGGGUUUGGGUUCUAGAUCUAGUUUAUGCUGAGUUUGUGGGGUUCUAAAGGGGACUUAUCUCAUAAUUCCUUCUUAUUUUCUAGUGGAAUAAUACAUUUACAUAUGUUAUCUGUUCUUCUACAAUUCUCUCAUUUCAGUUUUAGGCUCUAUAUCUGUAACUUAUAUAAAACAUAUUCUUAGUUUUCAUGGUAGAUGAUUGAGUAACUCUUACAAGAUUUGUUUUCAUCACUGUUUCCAAAGAUUCACAAUAAAUCACAACAAUCAAAUUUUCGAAAAGGAAUGUUUUAAUUUGUUUUUCAUUUGUAACUAUGUAACAAUUUUUAUGAAUUUGAAGUAGUUGACUAUGUCAUUGUUAUGGUUUUCCAAAGUAGUUCUUGUUUUAAGUUUGUUUUCUAUCCAUAAUUGAUUUUUGCCCCAAAGUAUUCUAAUUUUUUUUUUUAACCUUUAUAAAAAUGGAAUGGAAAUGAUUUUUUUCUUUUCAACUUGGGUUUGUGUUCGGUUGGCUUGAGCUGGAUCUUGGUUUAGGCUGAGGGGUUUGGGCUGAGUUUGGGUUUUGUUCUGGGCUGGAUCCGGGGUGGGCUGGGGUUGGUUCUGGGCUUCGCCAGGGUCUGGAUUUGGGUCUUGGUCUGGUCUGGGUUUGGCUCUAGGCUAUGCCUGGGCCUGUGCUUGGGCUGGGUCCAGAUCUGGGUCAAGGCUCGCUUGGGUCUUGAUCAGGUCUGGAUCUGGGGCAGGGCUGUGUUUGGGUCUGGUUCUGGUCUGGUUCGAGAUCUCGUCUGGAUUUGGAUCUGAGUUUAGUCUGGGUCUAAGCUGGGUCUUGGUUUGGGUCUAGGUCUGUAUUUGGAUUUUGGUAUAAUAUUUGGGAGGAAUAAUACAUUUACAAAUGUUACAUUUUGUGGUUUAUUUAUAAAUCUUCCCAUUAAGUUUUUAGGCUCUAUGUGUAAUUAUUACCUUGUAUAAAACAUAUUCAUUGUUUUCAUGGCAAAUGAUAGCGCCAUAUGAAUCAGAUAUCAUUUGGCAUUGAAUCAUUUUACAAAGUAGCUCCCUAUUUAAAGUUGAUUUUCUGUCCAAAAAUGCAUUUUUGCCAAAUUUUCAAACAUGACUUCUUUUUCAGCUUUGUUCACUUCCCCACAAUGCUUCCAAGUUCUCUUGACCUAUUUUCUGAUCAAAUCUUUCUAUUUUUAUGAAUGAGAAGAAUGCUCCAUUAUCAGUGGUGCUAAGUAUGUUUGUCUAUUCCAAUGCUGCUUAAUCCUCUUGCUCUUGCUGCUGCCAUUCUUCUUAUAAUGCAAUUGUUUGAUUGAUUUGCACUCCCUAUUCAUUAAGUUCCAUGAAAAAAUCUGUUUGUUUGUUUGUUUUUAAUUUUUAUUUUUACAUUUAUAUUAAUCAUUUGAGUUUACAAUAACUUUACUACAAUUAUGCUGCAAGAUGAUGGAGCUAUAUGGUAAGGCAAUAAAUAGCUUUUAUCACCAAGUACUUAAUACAAAGGGCUUCUUUCAGGUUCAUUCACCUGGAAUCUGGAUAUGGAGGUGAAUUGUAUAACCUUUUGCCAAUUAUAGUGGGAAGUGGGUCAGUGCACACUAUCAUUGUCAACUACUUGCCCUGGUCUGGAGUUCAUUAAGCAAGAGACAUUCCAUUUUGGACUAACGUACUCUUAACUCAUUUGAGCAUAAGAUUCUUUAAAACAAGAUUUUGGAACCAAGGUGGGCUAUGCAAAUAUCAAAGCAUCCAAGACAUUGUGGGUACAUAUGAUUGAAAUUCUUUCUUUGUGAACUUAGAGGUUGCACUCACGGCAGUAAAGACAAGCAUAUAAAAGGCGGGAAUGCAAGGAUUGGAAUAGUUAUGAAAUCUUUCAUAUGAAGGGUGUGAGAUAUGAGAUUUCUAAUAAUGUAAAUUUUCAAGAUUUUGAAACAGCCUUUGAAGUGGCUUUCAUGGUUUUGACAAUUGAAGUUAUAUUGAAGCCUUUGAAGCUGCCUUCAUGGUUUUGACAAUUGAAGGUGUAUUGAAGCCUUUGAAGCUGCUUUCAUGGUUUUGACAACUGAAGGUAUAUUGAAGGUACGAUUAUCUCUUGUGUUAUACUUGUUUUAAAUAAUCUUUCAUAGUCAGCGGAAUAUAUUUAAUGAUUCCUGCAUCAAAGGAGGUGCUGCAGUGCAGUCAACAUAAUAUAUUUAAUGGUUUGUUUGUUUUGUUAGCGUGCCCAAUAGUUUGUAUGUAUAUUUGAAUUGUGUACUUGCUAUCUACUUUGAGCAAGCAUGCUUGAAAGCUUGUAUAUUUGUUCUGAUGUAUACUUACUAUUUGUUAGGGUGCAUGCAUCCCAAAUGCCUGCAUGACUUUUUUUGUUUAUUUUAUUUUUACUGUGAUCUUAUUAUUUGUUGAAGGUAGAUGUUCUUGGAAGGUUGCAUAUGUGCUUGACUGUAAGCUAAUUUUGUGUUGUCUUCAUAUUUGUUCUUACCUUGUGCUUAUCUUGUAUUGGCGUCUCCAAAAGCUUGCACAUUUGUUAUGAUUGUGCGUUUAUUAUCAGCUGGGAAAAGGUGCCUCAAAGCUUGCAUUAUUUUUUAUUAUUUAUUGUGUGCUUAUUAAUUAUUAGGGGCAGGUGUGCCAGAAGCUUGUAGCUUUGUUACACAUAUGUGCUUAUAUUAUUGUUUAAGGGUUGGCAUAGUGAAAACC
Molecule: long non-coding RNA, 3861 nt
Organism: Andrographis paniculata
Lineage: Eukaryota; Viridiplantae; Streptophyta; Magnoliopsida; Lamiales; Acanthaceae
Exons: 9
Source: RefSeq, a predicted model, not a curated record